UCUCAACUAGGCAAUUGGCUAGCGCGUCUGACUGUUAAUCAGGAGGUUGGUGGUUCGAGCCCACCCGGGGGAG
Cladophialophora carrionii CBS 160.54 is the source of this 73-nucleotide non-coding RNA. Lineage: Eukaryota; Fungi; Ascomycota; Eurotiomycetes; Chaetothyriales; Herpotrichiellaceae. The record is from the annotation of a RefSeq genome assembly.